This 829-nucleotide ribosomal RNA is filed under the name uncultured bacterium. RNAcentral describes it as "bacterial SSU rRNA". It matches the Rfam family "Bacterial small subunit ribosomal RNA", at positions 61 to 893 of the family's 1533-position model. The record is from RNAcentral.
UCGAGCGAAGCGCGCCCCGGAAUCCUUCGGGAGGAAGGGUCGCGACUGCCCUUAGGACGGGUGAGUAACGCGUGGGCAACCUGCCCCAUACAGGGGGACAACGGCCGGAAACGGCCGCUAAUACCGCAUGAUUCCUCUUGGCCGCAUGGCCGGGAGGGGAAAGCCGAGACGGUAUGGGAUGGACCCGCGUCUGAUUAGCUGGUUGGCGAGGUAACGGCUCACCAAGGCGACGAUCAGUAGCCGGCCUGAGAGGGCGACCGGCCACAUUGGGACUGAGACACGGCCCAAACUCCUACGGGAGGCAGCAGUGGGGAAUAUUGCACAAUGGGGGAAACCCUGAUGCAGCGACGCCGCGUGAAGGACGAAGUAUUUCGGUACGUAAACUUCUAUCAGCAGGGAAGAAAAUGACGGUACCUGACCAAGAAGCCCCGGCUAACUACGUGCCAGCAGCCGCGGUAAUACGUAGGGGGCAAGCGUUAUCCGGAUUUACUGGGUGUAAAGGGAGCGUAGACGGCCAUGCAAGUCUGAUGUGAAAACCCGGGGCUCAACCCCGGGACUGCAUUGGAAACUGUGCGGCUGGAGUGUCGGAGAGGCAAGUGGAAUUCCUAGUGUAGCGGUGAAAUGCGUAGAUAUUAGGAGGAACACCAGUGGCGAAGGCGGCUUGCUGGACGACGACUGACGUUGAGGCUCGAAAGCGUGGGGAGCAAACAGGAUUAGAUACCCUGGUAGUCCACGCCGUAAACGAUGACUGCUAGGUGUCGGGGGGCAUGGCCCCUCGGUGCCGCAGCUAACGCAAUAAGCAGUCCACCUGGGGAGUACGUUCGCAAGA